UAGACCACUGGUUUGAAGGUAAGACUGCAAAGUAUGUUCUUUCUUGAAAAACAUUAACUGCUUUCCCUCUGAAUUCUGUGGUUUUAUUGUUCAAGGUGAGUUACACUGUGAAUUAUAUUGUGUAGCCCUGAUUAGUCCUUAUUGGGUCCACAUUUGCAGAACAUAUAAUUUCUCAGUGGUUAGCUGAAAUUGAUCUCUCUUUUUGAAGUCAGGUCAGCGUUUUAGUCUGUUAUUUGCCAUCAAUUUUCAUGGGUUGUAUUUUCUUACAUAAAAUAUUCUGAUCAUUUGUUUAUUGCUUCUAUGUCCUAUUUCUGCAGCAGAAUAGAAACUUCCAGCCAACAUCUCUGUGAAAAUUAUUGUGCCAAAGGAAAUGGCAAAGAUCCACUACAGCAAGGAAUUCUUUUUGAGAAAACCAUCUGCUCAUCUCACAUAUUAAAACCUCCAUGAAAUGAGUGGAUUCAGAAGGAGAUGUCAUCAGCAAUACAGACACGGCUCAGUUUUUUCUCGUAUGAGAACUCAAGACCAUCCCUACCAUUUCCAUCAGCAAUGCAUGUCAUUUCUCAAGAGUUAUUUUUCUUCUUAAGGCACAUCAAGA
This is a long non-coding RNA of Manis pentadactyla (Chinese pangolin), 595 nucleotides long. RefSeq lists it as uncharacterized. Lineage: Eukaryota; Metazoa; Chordata; Mammalia; Pholidota; Manidae. The transcript has 2 exons. The record is from RefSeq and is a predicted model, not a curated record.